GUAAUUAGCUAGACCUGGGUAAUUGCUACCGCCAAGUAACAGAGGAAGUGAUACAUCACACCUGUGCCCAGGAGCAACACUUCAAAGUGUGUCAGGCUGAAAAAUAUCACAGAGGACAAUUCCCUAAGGAAUGACGGACCAACAAGAUGAAAAGUAGCAGGAUCCUGGAAGGACUGGAACAGCUGCCAACUGGACUCUCAUCACAGACUUGGCGAAAGACUUGGGAAUUAUCCGUCCUCUGUUGGAGGAGGAGCUCUCUGCCCAAGCAUCCUAAACCUUCACCCUCUAUAAUAGGCCAUUCAUUUAAGGUGCACAAUGACCCAGAGAGUUGGCUACUAUUAUUAUUCCUGUUUCACAUGUAAGGUUACUGAGGCUCAGAGAAGGCUGAAUAAUUUGCCCAAAUCUAUCGCUGAACCGCCCUAAAUGGACCCAAUCUUACAAGCUUGCUUGGUGCUUGGAUGGGAGGCUGCUUAUCACUGCCAGAAGCCCGAGGCUUUACAAUAAUAAUAAAUUCACCCACAAUUCCCAAACCAUGUGGUGCAAACAACAUCAGAAGCCAGAUUCCUUCAGCUCUAAAGAAC
This 581-nucleotide long non-coding RNA is filed under the name Heterocephalus glaber (naked mole-rat). Its description in RNAcentral is "lncRNA (ENSHGLG00100030679.2)". Lineage: Eukaryota; Metazoa; Chordata; Mammalia; Rodentia; Bathyergidae. The record is from RNAcentral.